RNAcentral lists this ribosomal RNA (253 nucleotides) under uncultured bacterium. RNAcentral describes it as "partial 16S ribosomal RNA". It matches the Rfam family "Bacterial small subunit ribosomal RNA", at positions 524 to 776 of the family's 1533-position model. The record is from RNAcentral.
GACGUAGGGUGCGAGCGUUGUCCGGAUUUAUUGGGCGUAAAGAGCUCGUAGGCGGCUUGUCGCGUCGACCGUGAAAACUUGGGGCUCAACCCCAAGCCUGCGGUCGAUACGGGCAGGCUAGAGUGCGGUAGGGGAGACUGGAAUUCCUGGUGUAGCGGUGAAAUGCGCAGAUAUCAGGAGGAACACCGGUGGCGAAGGCGGGUCUCUGGGCCGUAACUGACGCUGAGGAGCGAAAGCGUGGGGAGCGAACAGG